CCUACGGGUGGCUGCAGUGGGGAAUAUUGGACAAUGGGCGAAAGCCUGAUCCAGCCAUGCCGCGUGUGUGAAGAAGGCCUUCGGGUUGUAAAGCACUUUCAGUGGGGAAGAAAGCCUUGGGGCUAAUACCCUCGAGGAAGGACAUCACCCACAGAAGAAGCACCGGCUAACUCCGUGCCAGCAGCCGCGGUAAUACGGAGGGUGCGAGCGUUAAUCGGAAUUACUGGGCGUAAAGCGCGCAUAGGCGGUCUGAUAAGCCGGUUGUGAAAGCCCCGGGCUCAACCUGGGAACGGCAUCCGGAACUGUCAGGCUAGAGUGCAGGAGAGGAAGGUAGAAUUCCCGGUGUAGCGGUGAAAUGCGUAGAGAUCGGGAGGAAUACCAGUGGCGAAGGCGGCCUUCUGGACUGACACUGACGCUGAGGUGCGAAAGCGUGGGUAGCAAACAGGAUUAAUACCCGAGUAGUC
RNAcentral lists this ribosomal RNA (464 nucleotides) under Vreelandella stevensii. RNAcentral describes it as "partial 16S ribosomal RNA". It matches the Rfam family "Bacterial small subunit ribosomal RNA", at positions 338 to 795 of the family's 1533-position model. Lineage: Bacteria; Pseudomonadati; Pseudomonadota; Gammaproteobacteria; Oceanospirillales; Halomonadaceae. The record is from RNAcentral.